GUGCUUGCUUUAGCAGCACAUAUGCUAAAAUUGGAACAAUGCAGAAAAGAUUAGCAUGGCCCCUAUGCAAGGAUGACACAAAAAUUCAUGAAGAAUUUGAUAUUUAA
This 107-nucleotide small nuclear RNA is filed under the name Sciurus vulgaris (Eurasian red squirrel). The record is from RNAcentral. Lineage: Eukaryota; Metazoa; Chordata; Mammalia; Rodentia; Sciuridae.